RNAcentral lists this ribosomal RNA (458 nucleotides) under uncultured bacterium. Its description in RNAcentral is "partial 16S ribosomal RNA". It matches the Rfam family "Bacterial small subunit ribosomal RNA", at positions 338 to 795 of the family's 1533-position model. The record is from RNAcentral.
CCUACGGGUGGCAGCAGUGGGGAAUAUUGCACAAUGGGGGAAACCCUGAUGCAGCGACGCCGCGUGAGUGAAGAAGUAAUUCGUUACGUAAAGCUCUAUCAGCAGGGAAGAAAUACUGACCUUACGGUCAGCAGACGGUACCUGAGUAAGAAGCCCCGGCUAACUACGUGCCAGCAGCCGCAGUAAUACGUAGGGGGCAAGCGUUAUCCGGAUUUACUGGGUGUAAAGGGAGCGUAGACGGUGCGCCAAGUAUGGAGUGAAAUGCCGCAGCUUAACUGCGGAACUGCUGUGGAAACUGGCGAACUAGAGUGCGGGAGGGGUAAGCGGAAUUCCUAGUGUAGCGGUGAAAUGCGUAGAUAUUAGGAGGAACACCGGUGGCGAAGGCGGCUUACUGGACCGUAACUGACGUUGAGGCUCGAAAGCGUGGGGAGCAAACAGGAUUAGAUACACCAGUAGUC